AACGAACGCUGGCGGCAGGCCUAACACAUGCAAGUCGAGCGAGGACUUCGGUCCUAGCGGCGGACGGGUGAGUAACGCGUGGGAACGUGCCCUUUGCUUCGGAAUAGCCCUGGGAAACUGGGAGUAAUACCGGAUGAGCCCUUUGGGGGAAAGAUUUAUCGGCGAAGGAUCGGCCCGCGUUGGAUUAGGUAGUUGGUGGGGUAAUGGCCUACCAAGCCGACGAUCCAUAGCUGGUUUGAGAGGAUGAUCAGCCACACUGGGACUGAGACACGGCCCAGACUCCGACGGGAGGCAGCAGUGGGGAAUCAUAGACAAUGGGGGAAACCCUGAUCUAGCCAUGCCGCGUGAGCGAGGAAGGCCUUAGGGUUGUAAAGCUCUUUCAGCUGGGAAGAUAAUGACGGUACCAGCAGAAGAAGCCCCGGCUAACUCCGUG
Molecule: ribosomal RNA, 433 nt
Filed under: uncultured bacterium
Lineage: Bacteria
Description: partial 16S ribosomal RNA
Rfam family: Bacterial small subunit ribosomal RNA
Source: RNAcentral